RNAcentral lists this ribosomal RNA (497 nucleotides) under uncultured bacterium. RNAcentral's name for it is "partial 16S ribosomal RNA". It matches the Rfam family "Bacterial small subunit ribosomal RNA", at positions 28 to 507 of the family's 1533-position model. The record is from RNAcentral.
GACGAACGCUGGCGGCGUGCCUAAUACAUGCAAGUUGAGCGCUGAAGGUUGGUACUUGUACCGACUGGAUGAGCAGCGAACGGGUGAGUAACGCGUGGGGAAUCUGCCUUUGAGCGGGGGACAACAUUUGGAAACGAAUGCUAAUACCGCAUAAAAACUUUAAACACAAGUUUUAAGUUUGAAAGAUGCAAUUGCAUCACUCAAAGUUGAUCCCGCGUUGUAUUAGCUAGUUGGUGAGGUAAAGGCUCACCAAGGCGAUGAUACAUAGCCGACCUGAGAGGGUGAUCGGCCACAUUGGGACUGAGACACGGCCCAAACUCCUACGGGAGGCAGCAGUAGGGAAUCUUCGGCAAUGGACGAAAGUCUGACCGAGCAACGCCGCGUGAGUGAAGAAGGUUUUCGGAUCGUAAAACUCGGUUGGUAGAGAAGAACGUUGGUGAGAGUGGAAAGCUCAUCAAGUGACGGUAACUACCCAGAAAGGGACGGCUAACUACGUG